UUUCUGGAGAUCAGUUAUUUUCUUUUAUCAUGCCUUCUAAUGAUAAGGGGUUUUGUCUUUUUUUAGGAAGGUGGAGUGUUUACUUUUGGAGCUGGAGGGUAUGGUCAGUUGGGCCAUAAUUCUACCAGUCAUGAAAUAAACCCAAGGAAAGUUUUUGAACUUAUGGGAAGCAUUGUCACUCAGAUUGCUUGUGGACGAUUAUGAAGAAUAUUUCUGUGUAAAAAGAAUUUUCUCAGGGGGAGAUCAAAGCUUUUCACAUUACUCUAGUCCCCAGAACUGUGGGCCACCAGAUGACUUCAGAUGUCCUGAUCCGACAAAGCAGAUCUGGACAGUGAAUGAAGCUCUAAUUCAGAAAUGGCUGAGCUAUCCUUCUGGAAGGUUUCCUGUGGAGAUAGCCAAUGAGAUAGAUGGAACGUUUUCUUCCUCUGGUUGCCUAAAUGGAAGUUUUUUAGCUGUUAGCAAUGAUGAUCACUAUAGAACAGGUACCAGAUUUUCAGGGGUUGAUAUGAAUGCUGCUAGGCUUUUAUUCCACAAACUUAUACAACCUGAUCAUCCGCAGAUAUCUCAGCAGGUGGCAGCUAGUUUGGAAAAGAAUCUUAUUCCUAAACUGACUAGCUCCUUACCUGAUGUUGAAGCAUUGAGGUUUUAUCUUACUCUACCAGAAUGUCCCCUGAUGAGUGAUUCCAACAAUUUCACAACAAUAGCAAUUCCCUUUGGUACAGCUCUUGUGAACCUAGAAAAGGCACCACUGAAAGUACUUGAAAACUGGUGGUCAGUACUUGAACCUCCACUAUUCCUCAAGAUAGUAGAACUUUUUAAGGAAGUUGUGGUACAUCUUUUGAAACUCUACAAGAUCGG
RNAcentral lists this long non-coding RNA (858 nucleotides) under Pan troglodytes (chimpanzee). Its description in RNAcentral is "long non-coding RNA NONPTRT002200". Lineage: Eukaryota; Metazoa; Chordata; Mammalia; Primates; Hominidae. The record is from RNAcentral.